GCCGCAGUCGCGCGCUUGCACUCUCAGCGGAGACAACAUUACCCGUCGUACAAGUUCAUUUAUUUGCCGUAUAUCGCGUAUACCUGUUUCUCGCCCCCGUUAUUGUCCGGCCCGAUAAGAGAGAACCCCCCACCCCCGCCCCUUGUUCCCACGUUAACCCCGUUCGCGGUUAACGGCUGGACAUCCCCGUUACGCGUCCAUAUUUAUCGCGUUGCACACAACAACGCGUACAAUAAACUUGACCUCGGGGGGGGCUUGUGUGUUUCGAAUCGUCGAGUUUUUCUCAACGAUUAUCAAUAAUAAUCAUCGUCGUCGUCGUCGGUUAUAUUAUAUACAGUGACGUGCACGUGUGUAUUAUUAAUACCUUCGUUCAUCGUUGUGUGGUUAUUCGAAAUUUUUUUUUAUUAUUUAUCGUUGUAUUUUUUUUUCUCUAUCUUUCUUUUCGAUGCAUUUGUUUCCAUCGUAAUAUACUCAAGUAUUUCUUUACUUCUCAAUAAUCUGUGUGGGUUUUAUUUUGAAACUGGUUUACAUACGUUCGUCGAGAAGAAUUGUUAAUAACUAACUGUUCUCAAAAGACAGCAUCCCCCUGCAGUAACACGGACUAUCAAUUCAACACACCGACUGGGAUAUCUCGAGAGGAACGGUUGUUAUAUGGUUGUGGAAGCUGAGCUUUUGGCGGAGGGUGAAAGUGCAUCCUUUCGCGGCGAUGUGGCUCAGUGGCGAGACGCGCGGAGGUGAUAACAGCUUCUGACCUUCCGUCUGUUUCUCGUCUGUCCCCCCCGCGUCGCGUGUUUGUGUGUGUGUGUGUGUUUUCAAUCCUCGUCAGUCGUCGUUGAUCGGUAUCGUCGCGACGAGUCCGCACGCUGUUCGUAACGAGAGCGCAGUUUUUCACUCGCGUAUAAAAAAAGUGUGCGAGUUUCGUCGUUUAUUUUCAUUGCUUACGUCUUAUUAUUGUUAUUGUUAUAUCCCUCCGACGACUGUAAUCAUCAUCGUCAUCGUCAUCGUCAUCGUCAUCCCGAAGCGAUUGAAAUUAUUCUUCCUACAUUUUGUUAAAUUGUUUCUCUCUCCCCGUUCAUAGUCGUUCGUUUCUCUCCGACGGACCGUCAAGACUCUAUUUUCCGCUCUCAUCCCGUUAGUGUUAAAUCGGCAAUAUUCGUAAACCGGUGAAUCUUACGCGCGCGAUAAGAAUGAAAUUUUAAAAAAACAAAUCGUUAAUAUAAAUAACAAACAAACAAACAAACAAAGAAACAAACAAAGCAAAACAAUAUAAAACAAAUACCUCAUCAUACCUACAAAGUACCUCUCGUCGUUCGAACCUUCAGCGCAAUAGUGCCUAGGCCCUGUAACUAACGUGAAAACAAAACAAAACAGAACGAAAAAAAUUUAAACAAAAAAAAAAAAAAAACAAAUAAAGAAGCAACAAAAUAAAAGAUAAUAGUAAUUUAGUAACGUCUUAACAACACUUUUAAACAGAGAGAAAAGAAGAAACGAACAAAUUAAUUGAAAACAACAUCAUCAUCGAGUGACUUACGUGUACGAGUGAGUGCGAUAGGAGAGAGAGAGAGAGAGAGAGUCGUCGUAUUAAGAGGUCAAGGAUACGGAAGAAGUGUGAAAUAUGAAAAAGAGUUUAAAUUCGACGGAGGAAAGACAGAGAUAAAGUGAAAAGCUAUAUAUUAUAUAUAUAUAUUACAUAUAUAUAUAUAUAUAGAUAUCAUAUAUAUUUAAGAAAGAAAGGAAAAGAAAACAAACAAACAAACCUAUAUACUAAACAAAUAAUAAUCAAGCAAGCACAUAAUAACAAUAAUAAUAGUCGUAGAUUGAAAAGGAAUGAAAUAAACAAAGUUGUUAACCGCAACGUAAUUCAGGACAGUUGAGUACCUCCAGAUUAUCUAUUUAUUAUAAAAAAAAAAAAAAAAGAAAAGAAAAGAAAAUAAAAUAAAGAAAAAGAGAAACACGCGAUAUUAUUGUCUAUUGAAAACGGUUUAAUAGUAAUGAUAAAUAGUGUACACCGGUUGCAAUAUUCUUCGCACGUGCUAUUUUAAUAAAUUAAAAAAAAAAGAACAAACAAACAAAAAAGAAACAGUGAAAGAAAACCACAACAAUAUUCAUGAUAACAAAUGUAAACGGUAUUAAACGGUAUACAUAUAACUAAAGUUUUAAUAUAUCUACAAGAAUAACGAUAUUAAUAUUAAUAUUAUCAUUAUUAUUAUUAUUAUUAUAAUUAACACUACAACAGAAACUAUCGAUGACGUUGAAAAAAAUCUCGGUUAACCGAACAUCCCUUCCUCCCCCCCACGUCGGUCUACCUUAAAGAUACACCGAUCGUAUUUACCUCGCAACCCGUGGUAUAGGUCUAAGGAGAUAUCAUCGGUAUCGAGUACGACAAAGAUGCGUUAGAAAACUAACGUUUGUUAAGCAACAUCGAAAAGAGGUUGAACAGUAACAAAAGUUAUCACGAAUCAGCCCUCGACGUAUUCGAGGAGUGAAGUGCGAGAAAGGUAAUCCCCGAUAAAGUGACGCGUGCAGUUUCAUCAGGCUCUGGCGCGAGCGAAAAGAAAAAGAAAAAGAAGAAGAAGAAGAAGACGAAGAAGAAGAAGAAGCGACAGUGGAGAACGCGGCCGCGGGAUGUAAACGUCCGAGAAUGAAAAGUUUGUUUAGUUUUUCUACGAUCAAUUGUUGUAUGUAAGAAGGGAGGGGAUAAAAAAAAAAAGAAAAAGAAAGACAGAAAGAAAAGAAGGUGCGACGAAAAA
Neodiprion fabricii is the source of this 2750-nucleotide long non-coding RNA. RefSeq lists it as uncharacterized. Lineage: Eukaryota; Metazoa; Arthropoda; Insecta; Hymenoptera; Diprionidae. The record is from RefSeq and is a predicted model, not a curated record. The transcript is spliced from 3 exons.